Long non-coding RNA from Rhipicephalus sanguineus (brown dog tick), 647 nucleotides. RefSeq lists it as uncharacterized. The transcript is spliced from 3 exons. The record is from RefSeq and is a predicted model, not a curated record. Lineage: Eukaryota; Metazoa; Arthropoda; Arachnida; Ixodida; Ixodidae.
AGCACGGUGCAAGACUCCAAUAAUUUCAUGGACCUAGUUCUUGAGCAACACCUUCCACGCUUGGUCAUGGGAAACCACGACCUCUACCCCGGGACUCCGAUUCCAGAUUUCCACUUCAAGAUACUGAAGACAAGGAUCACCAACCGGGACUUAAAGGCUAACAUAACCGAAGGUUCGAUCCAUGGUUUCGACAACGGUGUCCACCGUUUGGGCAACUGCGAACAGCCUAUUCUGCUCAAUGGAAAUACUACCGUCAACUGCGUGCUGAACAUGACUGGCAUCGGGCGACUCUGACUGCAACGACAAAGGGGGACAGCUUGGUAGGAACGAUCAAGACCAUCUGGGUGAACGUGACGCUUAAGAAGGAAACCGUGCUGAGGGUGGCUGUUACCGCGCAGCAUCCGAAGCCGGCCUCCCUGAUGACUUUCUUCAUGGAAAAGCUCAAGCUGAAGACGAAGUAUGAUGACCACCUUAGUCUCAACGACGAUCGUGAAGAGCAGUUCGAAGAGCUGAUCGAGGAGAAGGUCAGGGACAUACUCAUUUCUACUAUCUACAACCAGUACAAGGCCAUGUUCGAGAUAGCCGUCAACAUGGCGACGCCAGCGUUCCCACGCGCUUGAAUGAGUUCCAGUUCCACGGUUUCGCAU